Molecule: long non-coding RNA, 1047 nt
Filed under: Heterocephalus glaber (naked mole-rat)
Lineage: Eukaryota; Metazoa; Chordata; Mammalia; Rodentia; Bathyergidae
Description: lncRNA (ENSHGLG00000037429.1)
Source: RNAcentral
CACUCUCAAAGGAUUAGCUUAUCCACAGGGAUCCCUGUUCUGGAGACACUGUUGUCUGCACAUCUAACUCUGUUGUGGAAAGGUUCCUCUCAGGCUUGAUACACAGGAUCCCAUCCUUGUUAACCACACCAGUCACCCUCUAGCAACCUACUGUGUGCAAAAGAAAACACCACUGGUGUAGAAGAUUGGGAAAUAUGCAUGAAGAUAUAGCAGGUGCCUGGGGUAAGAUUGAAACACCCAGCAGGAUGGAGCAUGGAAGAGCUGGGAUCAAGCUGGCUUAGAAAGAAGACAUAGCCAGGACAGCGUAGGGACAGCAGCUAACUCGUGGUCUGGGCGCCAAGAGCCAGGACAGUAGCCUUGCCCUUUGGGAGCCCAUGGGAAGGCGAGGUCACUGAAUCGAUGCAACCCUGGGAAGAAAGAUGAGGCUGUCCUCAUCCCAGGGAAGACUUGAGCUGGGCUACUGGACGCUGAUGGACUAUCGAGUGUCCAAACGUCACUCUUGCUGGAACAGAAGGAGCCAGAGGACACUGCAAGCAUCAUGCAUUUCUGGACGUCUUCCCACCUCCCCUGGUCACCAUCCCUGCCCUGCCUCCUAAGCUAGACACCUGGUGUCCUCUUUGUUGCCCCUCCAUGGUUGCCUUCUUCAACUGUCAGAGUUGUUCUUGCCCGUGUAUGACACUCCAGCCUCACUGCUACCUCCAGGGUCAUGAGUGUCACCAGCUCCCUCCAAAACCUUAUAGCCCUCACUGCCCUGUUGGCCACCAUGUAGUGUCAGGAGGGUUGUGAACUGCAGUUAGGGUGCAGUAAAACCCGCACAGGCUUGAACCCUGACUCUGACCCCAUCCAAGCUGGCCAGAGCCUCUGACAUUCACCCUCACUGCCCUCUUCUGUACAAUGGAACACACUGACCUCACAAAGAUGUGUUCACCCAGCACUCUGGGAGGCUGAGACAGGAAGAUCAAAAGUUCAAGCCCAGAUUGAGCAAAUUGGGGAGAGUUUAUCUGAAAAGUAAAAAAAUAAAAUAAAAAUUGGGGAGAGAGAGAGAGA